This is a long non-coding RNA of Chiroxiphia lanceolata (lance-tailed manakin), 4499 nucleotides long. RefSeq lists it as uncharacterized. The record is from RefSeq and is a predicted model, not a curated record. Lineage: Eukaryota; Metazoa; Chordata; Aves; Passeriformes; Pipridae. The transcript is spliced from 3 exons.
CCCUGCGCCCGCUCCCCGUGAGGUGCCGGUGUUGGCCGCCAGCGGCUCUGGGGGCUCCUGCCCCCGCCCGCCCCCGCCCGCCGGGAAGCCGCCCAGCGCUUACCUUCAUUGGGUUUCCGCUCCCCGUCCCCCAGGGCAGGCGCAGCUUUCGACAACUGCAAAGACAACACAGAAUCAGUCACAACACGGAACCGUGACGCGGUCCCGGGGCGCUGGGGGAUCCCGGGGAGGGGCCGAGGGCCCCGGUCCCGCCGCCGGCGGAGGGGCGGAGGGAGCCCCGGCGGUAGAGUGCGCCCCCGAGGCGGAGCCGCUCCCCGCUGGCCGCCCCGGCGGGCACAGAGGGACCUUUUGUUCCCCCCGUCCCCCGGGGAGCCGAGGGGGGCACGGGUGGCAGGGCCGCGGGCUGGGGGUACGGGGCUGGCAAGGCGGUGCGGCGGGCCCGAGAGAGGCCCCCAAACGGAGACACGCGUCCCCGGGGAGCCGCUGUCAGUAACUGCGGGCAAACACCGGGAGCAAAUCUGAGCCCGGAGGAGAAAAGUAACAGGGUGACCUGCUGCUGCCGACACGACUGGUGGGCCUGGGCACCGCUUCCUCCCGUAAAGGUGAACCCAGCAGAGGGGGGGAGAAGGGCGGCCAGGCGUGAAAGGGCAUCUCUCCCCUCUCAGUGUCGCACAUGUCUGUCGGCCAGCAGUGGUGGCCACCGAGGUGUCGGCAUCUGGCCGAGUGUCAGGGCGAUUAACUGUGACAGCACCACUUUGCCGACAGACGCAGCCAAACUGCCCAGGUUUCCUUCCUCUCUGCUGGAAGGGAGGGUGACGCGCGCUCUCGCCUAACGGUCCCCGUCUCCAGCCCCCGCGUCGAUCCCAUUCCUGCGCUCCCCGCGGCUUCCCCUGAACCGGAAUCAGAAAGGCCUCAAGCUCCGCAUUCACUCCUGCUGCCUCUUGGGACAAGGGGCAUUUCCAAACCACUGACUCAGGCAGCUGUGGUGACAGGUGAAACAAGAACUCCACUCCUCCUACUAUUCGUGAGGGCUUUACCUCUGAUGUAACUUUCCAGCCAUCAAGUUUCCCCCUGCUGUUCUGUUCUGAACCAAAAUGAAAAAUGCCCAGCAUUCUUCACUUCUCCCGAGGUACGCUGCCACCUGUGUGAUGUCAUUCACCCCAGAACUUGCCGCCUUUCACCAGAGGCCCAAAAGGAGCGUGGUGAUACACACAAAGCUUUUAGGCUUAGAAAAAUGCCCUCUGAUCUCACAGCCAAAGACAGAGCUGAACUAAGAAGGCCAAGUCCACCCCAAGCUCAUAAUGUGAAUCAGCCACCUAUGGUCUUCUAGGUAGCUCCGUGCGCAGGGCAGCACCAGCAUCCAAGCUGCCCAAAGUGUCAGCUUUUAAAAGAAGGGGGCAACAGAGCAAGCUAGAAGCCCCUCUCCCAGACAUUCCUUUGUGUCUGUGCACAGUUCCCUUUACCUAAGGUUCCCCUGACCAAACUUGCUUCUCAUUUCAACCAAAGUCUUUCUGUACCUGGGCAUAACUCAGCAGCCCAGACCUGAACCUCCCCAUGCGUGGAUCUGUUUCUUCUCUGGGGAGGAGAGGGCUGUGUGCUGAACCUCAGUGCUGUGAAAAAACUUUAAAAAGCAGGUUCCUAGAAACAGUUUCAUUCCUGAAGUGUAAAGGUCACUGCAACAGCACAAACAAAAUGGAGGCAGCGGAGGUUGCAGCGGCCUUCCAAAGCCACUCAGCGCCUGACAAUCUAUGGGUAAAAGGAAAACCGCAUCAAGGGCAGAAAAGCCUCAAUCUGCUACAGCACAGGAAGAGGAUCACGAGCCGAGUCAGUUUAUCCAAGUCACAAUGCCCCCAAGACUUUUUGCAGAGGGAUUUUUGGUUCACACACAAAAUGACCAUGACAGACUGAGCAAAAUGAGCUCGGAGUCACCUUGAGGGACAUUUUCACCCAUUCUCUAUGCAAGGCUGCCCAGCGGGCUGCCAAGCCCACCACCUCCUCAGAUGCAAACACACAUGGUGUACAAGCAAUGAGAAGCAGAAGCAAGCCACACGCUUUUAUUGCUCACCUGUGCCUAGCCAGCAUCUUGCCCUGCCGCGAUGUAGUGGAGCAAGAGCCAGAACAGUCUUCCAGUGCUCACCUAGACCUGGGAUGUGAUCACACGUCAAGGAUGGGCAAUGAGAUUGGUGCAAAGUGUGCAGAGAACUUCUGAGCAUUCCCAGUAGAACUCUCAGCAGAAACUAGAAAGGUUUCCCAGAACCAUCAGUAACACACUCUCUGCUCGCUAUUCCAAGAAACUUUUCUGCCCUUUCAGCAGUGCCUUUCACCUGUGGCUAGCGCCCUCAAAGCACGUCCACUAGAACAGAAGGUGAAGGGAGUCUUGUGCCUCACUUUAAACCAGUCUGCUACAUAUCAGACAGGGCAAUGGGGAACCAAAAACAUUCCAUGGGACAAGCAGGCCCAGUGUGCCCUUCGGUGGGAGCCUGAAGGUCACAUUCUCCUCUGCUGGCUUUUAGCAUUACCCAACAGUUCUGUAACACAAUUUUUUUCCAACAGAUUUUCAACAUUUCACAGAAGUGUGGAAGUAACCCCUGGCCUGGCCUUGAGAGUGGGAUAAAUGACCCCAGGAAUGAGGCUGACAAAGAGGAAGCUUCUUUCUGUGCCCUUUGUAGGUCACAGCUAAUGUACAUUCCUGCUGUGGAGUAAAACCCUCCCUAAGAAAUAAACCCACUUCACACCAUCCGUGUGUCUGUACCUUCCCUGUCUUCCUUCUCCCCUAAGGGAGCAAGCUUUUCUCUGAAGGGAGAGAAAAGGUUAAUCAAGUCAUUCCUCUCUAACCAUCCCCUCACCACCACCACCAGCACUCUUUCUCUCCCUUCCCCUCCCCCUAAUCUGUGCAGCCUCAUUAAAAGAGCUUUGUAACUGUUUAGGACUGGAACAAACAAUCCAUCCACUUUGAGAGGGACUCUGGGACAGGAGUUAAGGCACUUUUCGUCUUAGGCACUAGAAAUUCUCAGAGGUUUCUACUUAGAGGAGGGGGGGACGGGACUCACUACACUCCUUCUCCAUUGUACAUGCAGACAGAGGUCAGUAAUCCCAGAAACUGCCAGCACAGCUGAGGCACCUCUGGCAGAACAGAACAGACAGGAAAAUGGGUUUGAGGUUGCUCAGGAAUCAGUGAACCACUCACGUGGCAGCACGGGCUUCCCUCUCCCCUGCUCCCACAGGAGCGCUCCUGUUCCCAGCCUGUCCUCAGACCAUGGGCCUGGAACGGCUCUGGGGAAGGUGACCCGCUGCGUCUCGGCUGCCUACAGGCUGGGGAAGCAGGUUCUGGUGGCUCCCCAUUGUGGCCUGGUGCAGAGGCACACCAAAGGCAGGGAGCCUGGUGGGUGUGCGAUCAUUAGCAGUCUAGUCACAGGCUUGCUCUCCCUCCCUCAGUGUCUAAUCGCUGCCUGUUGCCUGUGGCAAUACACUUGGUAUAUCCAGGUCUCUCCACUGUUCACUGCAGGAGAGUAAGACUCCCAGACCCUCGUCAGGGGUUACUUGUCACCAGGCUGCCAGCAAAACCAGCAGAGAAAGGAAGAUGGGGAAUGACCAACUGUCUCCCAUUCUUUAGGAAAUGGGUGACUGGAAGGGGACAACAAUGUAACCUCUCUGAUCCCAUGGGGCAUGAGGACUGUUCAGUACAGCUCAGCAGAAUCAAUCAGCUGGGAGAGCAGCACUGCAAAAGCACCUUUCCUUCCCUCUCCUGCACAGAAAGGCUAUCACCACCAGUGGAGGCAGACACCUGUGGCAUCAGCACCACCCAGACUCAACUAUGAAAUAAUUUCCCACCAUCCCAGUCUUGCUGCAGGAGUGACCGUAACAACUCCCUCAGUAAGGAGUCAUCCCCCUGCCACCUUCACCAGAGGAACACCUUGAUUCCAGCAUCCCUCUUCCUUCACUUCCAGGAAAGCUGCCCAGCACAUGCUGGACCCUGCUUUCCCAACUCAGACUCUGCCAGAGCUUUUAUUUAAUGCUCUCUAACGCGCCUGGCUAGCUAGAUAGGUUUUAUUCAGUAUGACAGCCAGAUUAACAGUACAGAUAAAUAUUAUCAUCAAAGCACAAAACCCUAGUCCCGGCGUGAAGAGUCAUGCCUUCUGCCAUGCCCAGAGUCAUCGUCAAGCUGCCUACGUGAGAUCUGCUGGUAUUUCUAACGUUCCCAUCACCGUGGUGCCCGGACGACCAACGGACAAAUAAGGACAGAACCGAAGGGCAGACCUCACCGUCAAUCUGCCUGAGCACUUACAUAGCCCACAUCACCCAGGCAUUUUGAACUCCACUCGGCGGUACGAACCCGAGCUGGGACCCAAGGCAAAUACCGCCGAAACACCCUUUUGCAAUGUCAGGAGACCCGAGGACGGGAGGCGAGGCUGAUGCAAGAAGCCAGCGCGCUGCCUCCGUGCCCCGCGCCCCGCCAGCCGCAGCGCCCCGGCCCCAGUGGGACCCCCCGGCCGCGCCGC